ACAUAGACAUAUACUGCAAUAACCUCUUUACUUCCAAAGACCUACUGAUCAAUUAUAUUUUAUUUUUAAAUCAUUUUCUAUCUUAAAAUGUAUAUGAUCUUCUCCAAUAUUAAUGAUCAUUAUAAUCAGAUUGUUUUUCUUUAUAGAGAAAGUUGGUGUGUUUGUGUGCGUGAGUGUGUAUUCCUAAUGUUUUCUGUGUAAACAAGCAAGAGCUUCAAUAUAAUGCACAUUACAGAACUUUGAAGAAAUAAGUACAACCAGUGGAAUUUAGUAGAGUCAAGAAAUCUAAAGGAAGAAUACAGAUACAUCAUAAAGGGGGAGCUAAUAUUGGGUCAUAUCCAAGAAAAAAUGGAAAUGUUGCAGACACAGCUUUCUGAACGAAGAAGGAAUAACAGAAUCUCUAUGGGUGCCUCUGUACUUGACAAAAUUCACGUGGACUGGAAAAUACAACUGAUCUGAAAAAGCAACAUGACAUUGAAGAAGAAGUAGUAAUAGGAAUGGCAAAAGAAAAAGAAAAAAACAAUUUUUCACUGGCAAGAUGGCUGAAUAGGAACAGCUCCGUUCUGCAUCUCCCAGCAAGACCAACACAGAAGAUGAGGAAGUUGAGGCACAAGUAUUUGAAAGAGCUUGACUGUCACACAGCUAGCAAGAGAGGAAGGCUUCCUCCAGAGUCCAUGCUCUUGAAAAUUGUUACAGGAAACUGUCAUUACAUGCUUCAAGUCACAUUGCUUAGCAACAGCUCUUCAAAAUUUUCAGUUAUCAGCAUGAUCACAAAAAGAGGAUAAACUGCAAAACUAAUCUACACAAGCCAGACACAUUUGCAUCUGGAAAUAUAUGAAUAAAAACC
Papio anubis (olive baboon) is the source of this 847-nucleotide long non-coding RNA. The record is from Ensembl. NCBI's taxonomy places the organism in Eukaryota, Metazoa, Chordata, Mammalia, Primates, Cercopithecidae.